GGUCAGAACUUUGGAUCAGCUGUGAACUCUUGGAUUCCUGGACUGUUCUGGCCUGCUGUUUUCCCCACACCUGGAUUGGCCUCCUGUAUAUUCUCUGAGGCUGCAGCAUCUGGGACACUCUGGGCAGCGCCAUCCCAUCGGCUGGAUCUCACCUCUUUAAAAGAAGAUGGACUGAACUGUCAAACCAGAGAGUGUCAGUGAAUGGGCUGUGCCCUUCCCAUGCUGCAGCCGCCGUGAGUCAAAGAUCCACAGCAGCGUCCUUCUGUUCUUUCUGUUUAUGUUUUUAUUUUAAUAAACAUUUUGAACUUUC
Long non-coding RNA from Cyprinodon tularosa, 310 nucleotides. RefSeq lists it as uncharacterized. Lineage: Eukaryota; Metazoa; Chordata; Actinopteri; Cyprinodontiformes; Cyprinodontidae. The record is from RefSeq and is a predicted model, not a curated record. The transcript has 2 exons.